Molecule: long non-coding RNA, 210 nt
Filed under: Rattus norvegicus (Norway rat)
Lineage: Eukaryota; Metazoa; Chordata; Mammalia; Rodentia; Muridae
Description: long non-coding RNA NONRATT033758
Source: RNAcentral
UGGAUUCUCCCGGGUAACUAAUGAUCCUGUUCUCUUGCUUCUGUGUUAGGAGGGCACUCCAGGAAGAGUCAUCAAGAACAGGCCUACAGGCCACCCCAUCCUUUGGACUCCAUCUGAAUUUCAGGUGGCCAUCCAGAGAGCUGAUAUGCAGGAGUGUUUUGCUAGACUCAUCUGUAGACUGUGUAAAAGGAAAGUGAAGUUAUGUGGAGC